GGGGAAUAUUGGACAAUGGGCGAAAGCCUGAUCCAGCCAUGCCGCGUGUGUGAAGAAGGCCUUUUGGCUGUAAAGCACUUUAAGUGGGGAGGAAAAGCUUGUGGUUAAUACCCAUAAGCCCUGACGUUACCCACAGAAUAAGCACCGGCUAACUCUGUGCCAGCAGCCGCGGUAAUACAGAGGGUGCAAGCGUUAAUCGGAAUUACUGGGCGUAAAGCGCGCGUAGGUGGUUAUUUAAGUCAGAUGUGAAAGCCCCGGGCUUAACCUGGGAACUGCAUCUGAUACUGGAUAACUAGAGUAGGUGAGAGGGGAGUAGAAUUCCAGGUGUAGCGGUGAAAUGCGUAGAGAUCUGGAGGAAUACCGAUGGCGAAGGCAGCUCCCUGGCAUCAUACUGACACUGAGGUGCGAAAGCGUGGGUAGCAAACAGGAUUAGAUACCCUGGUAGUCCACGCCGUAAACGAUGUCUACCAGUCGUUGGGUCUUUUAAAGACUUAGUGACGCAGUUAACGCAAUGAGUAGACCGCCUGGGGAGUACGGCCGCAAGGUUA
RNAcentral lists this ribosomal RNA (548 nucleotides) under uncultured bacterium. Its description in RNAcentral is "bacterial SSU rRNA". It matches the Rfam family "Bacterial small subunit ribosomal RNA", at positions 356 to 896 of the family's 1533-position model. The record is from RNAcentral.